This 54-nucleotide ribosomal RNA is filed under the name Podalyria calyptrata. RNAcentral's name for it is "partial 5.8S ribosomal RNA". The record is from RNAcentral. Lineage: Eukaryota; Viridiplantae; Streptophyta; Magnoliopsida; Fabales; Fabaceae.
AUCCAAAAGACUCUCGGCAACGGAUAUCUCGGCUCUUGCAUCGAUGAAGAAACG